AGUGAACGCUGGCGGUAGGCCUAACACAUGCAAGUCGAACGGCAGCACAGUAAGAGCUUGCUCUUACGGGUGGCGAGUGGCGGACGGGUGAGGAAUACAUCGGAAUCUACUUUUUCGUGGGGGAUAACGUAGGGAAACUUACGCUAAUACCGCAUACGACCUACGGGUGAAAGCAGGGGAUCUUCGGACCUUGCGCGAUUGUAUGAGCCGAUGUCGGAUUAGCUAGUUGGCGUGGUAAAGGCCCACCAAGGCGACGAUCCGUAGCUGAUCUGAGAGGAUGAUCAGCCACACUGGAACUGAGACACGGUCCAGACUCCUACGGGAGGCAGCAGUGGGGAAUAUUGGACAAUGGGCGCAAGCCUGAUCCAGCCAUACCGCGUGGGUGAAGAAGGCCUUCGGGUUGUAAAGCCCUUUUGUUGGGAAAGAAAAGCAGCAGGUGAAUACCCCGCUGUUCUGACGGUACCCAAAGAAUAAGCACCGGCUAACUUCGUG
Molecule: ribosomal RNA, 492 nt
Filed under: uncultured bacterium
Lineage: Bacteria
Description: partial 16S ribosomal RNA
Rfam family: Bacterial small subunit ribosomal RNA
Source: RNAcentral